UGACCUACGGGGGGCAGCAGUGAGGAAUAUUGGUCAAUGGUCGGGAGACUGAACCAGCCAAGCCGCGUGAGGGAGGAAGGUACAGAGUAUCGUAAACCUCUUUUGUCAGGGAACAAAGGCGGGGACGUGUCCCCGGAUGAGUGUACCUGAAGAAAAAGCAUCGGCUAACUCCGUGCCAGCAGCCGCGGUAAUACGUAGGGGGCAAGCGUUAUCCGGAUUUACUGGGUGUAAAGGGGGCGCAGACGGCGAUGCAAGCCAGGAGUGAAAGCCCGGGGCCCAACCCCGGGAAUGCUCU
RNAcentral lists this ribosomal RNA (295 nucleotides) under uncultured bacterium. Its description in RNAcentral is "partial 16S ribosomal RNA". It matches the Rfam family "Bacterial small subunit ribosomal RNA", at positions 333 to 627 of the family's 1533-position model. The record is from RNAcentral.